AUGACGGCCUUCGGGUUGUAAACCCCUUUCAGCACAGACGAAGCGCAAGUGACGGUAUGUGCAGAAGAAGCACCGGCCAACUACGUGC
This 88-nucleotide ribosomal RNA is filed under the name uncultured bacterium. RNAcentral describes it as "partial 16S ribosomal RNA". The record is from RNAcentral.